This 726-nucleotide ribosomal RNA is filed under the name uncultured bacterium. Its description in RNAcentral is "bacterial SSU rRNA". It matches the Rfam family "Bacterial small subunit ribosomal RNA", at positions 789 to 1515 of the family's 1533-position model. The record is from RNAcentral.
GGUAGUCCACGCCGUAAACGAUGUCGACUUGGAGGUUGUGCCCUUGAGGCGUGGCUUCCGGAGCUAACGCGUUAAGUCGACCGCCUGGGGAGUACGGCCGCAAGGUUAAAACUCAAAUGAAUUGACGGGGGCCCGCACAAGCGGCGGAGCAUGUGGUUUAAUUCGAUGCAACGCGAAGAACCUUACCUACUCUUGACAUCCAGAGAACUUAGCAGAGAUGCUUUGGUGCCUUCGGGAACUCUGAGACAGGUGCUGCAUGGCUGUCGUCAGCUCGUGUUGUGAUAUGUUGGGUUAAGUCCCGCAACGAGCGCAACCCUUAUCCUUUGUUGCCAGCGGUUAGGCCGGGAACUCAAAGGAGACUGCCAGUGAUAAACUGGAGGAAGGUGGGGAUGACGUCAAGUCAUCAUGGCCCUUACGAGUAGGGCUACACACGUGCUACAAUGGCGCAUACAAAGAGAAGCGACCUCGCGAGAGCAAGCGGACCUCAUAAAGUGCGUCGUAGUCCGGAUUGGAGUCUGCAACUCGACUCCAUGAAGUCGGAAUCGCUAGUAAUCGUAGAUCAGAAUGCUACGGUGAAUACGUUCCCGGGCCUUGUACACACCGCCCGUCACACCAUGGGAGUGGGUUGCAAAAGAAGUAGGUAGCUUAACCUUCGGGAGGGCGCUUACCACUUUGUGAUUCAUGACUGGGGUGAAGUCGUAACAAGGUAACCGUAGGGGAACCUGC